AGCGAACGCUGGCGGCAGGCCUAACACAUGCAAGUCGAACGAACUCUUCGGAGUUAGUGGCGGACGGGUGAGUAACACGUGGGAACGUGCCUUUUGGUUCGGAAUAACUCAGGGAAACUUGUGCUAAUACCGAAUGUGCCCUUCGGGGGAAAGAUUUAUCGCCAUUAGAGCGGCCCGCGUCUGAUUAGCUAGUUGGUGAGGUAACGGCUCACCAAGGCGACGAUCAGUAGCUGGUCUGAGAGGAUGACCAGCCACACUGGGACUGAGACACGGCCCAGACCCCUACGGGGGGAGGGAGUGGGGAAUCUGGCGCAAGGGGGGAAAGCCGGACGCAGCCAGGCCGGGGAAAUGAGGAAGGUUUUAGGAUUGAAAAAUUCUUUCACCGGGGACGAAAAGGAGGGAACCGGGAGAAGAAGCCCCGGUUAAUUUCGU
RNAcentral lists this ribosomal RNA (432 nucleotides) under uncultured bacterium. RNAcentral describes it as "partial 16S ribosomal RNA". It matches the Rfam family "Bacterial small subunit ribosomal RNA", at positions 29 to 506 of the family's 1533-position model. The record is from RNAcentral.